This 346-nucleotide transfer-messenger RNA is filed under the name Deltaproteobacteria bacterium CG_4_8_14_3_um_filter_45_9. Its description in RNAcentral is "partial transfer-messenger RNA". It matches the Rfam family "transfer-messenger RNA". From Rfam's summary of the family: Bacterial tmRNA, also known as 10Sa RNA or SsrA, is named for its dual tRNA and mRNA-like properties. The record is from RNAcentral. Lineage: Bacteria; Deltaproteobacteria.
GGGGGCGAAAAGGGUUCGACGGGGAUCGUUGACGUCAGGGCUGCAUACCGAGGUCCCAUUGGCUCGUAAAACAAAUGGGAAUAAACAUAAUCGCAACCAACUACGAUUAUGCCCUGGCUGCCUAAGCGCAGCUAGGCGUCCCCCCUGUUCUUUCCUGUAGGGCAGGACGGGAUGUCAGAAAAACAGGAUAGUCUCUCCCCGACGCUUAUAGGGUGAGGGGCGAAUCUCCAUAAGAUAGUCCUUCUGAGAUCCUGCCUGUGGGAGUUUGGAAGGGCGAAUUUAAAACACAGGCUAUGUAUGUAGAUGUUCUGUCGGAAGGUUUCCGGACGCGGGUUCGAUUCCCGCC